GACGAACGCUGGCGGCGUGCUUAACACAUGCAAGUCGAACGGAAAGGCCCUGCUUUUGUGGGGUGCUCGAGUGGCGAACGGGUGAGUAACACGUGAGUAACCUGCCCUUGACUUUGGGAUAACUUCAGGAAACUGGGGCUAAUACCGGAUAGGAGCUCCUGCUGCAUGGUGGGGGUUGGAAAGUUUCGGCGGUUGGGGAUGUACUCGCGGCUUAUCAGCUUGUUGGUGGGGUAGUGGCGUACCAAGGCUUUGACGGGUAGCCGGCCUGAGAGGGGGACCGGCCACAUGGGGCCUGAGAGAGGGCCCAGAAUGCAACGGGAGGCAGCGGUGGGGAACAUUGCACAAUGGGCGGAAGCCUGAUGCAGAAACGCCGCGUGCGGGAUGCCGGCUUUCGGGUUGUAAACCGCUUUCGCCUGUGACGAAGCGUGAGUGACGGUAAUGGGUAAAGAAGCACCGGCUAACUACGUG
Molecule: ribosomal RNA, 468 nt
Filed under: uncultured bacterium
Lineage: Bacteria
Description: partial 16S ribosomal RNA
Rfam family: Bacterial small subunit ribosomal RNA
Source: RNAcentral